GAGUAACCUGCCCUUGACUCCGUUUAAGGGCGGGAAACUGGGUCUAAUACUGGAUGCUACAUGUCACCUCAUGGUGUUGUGUGGAAAGGGUUUACUGGUCUUGGAUGGGCUCACGGCCUAUCAGCUUGUUGGUGAGGUAAUGGCUCACCAAGGCGACGACGGGUAGCCGGCCUGAGAGGGUGACCGGCCACACUGGGACUGACACACCGCCCACACUCCUACGGGAGGCAGCAGUGGGGAAUAUUGCACAAUGGGCGAAAGCCUGAUGCAGCGACGCCGCGUGAGGGAUGACGGCUUCUGGGUUUUUUACCUCUUUCAGCAGGGAAAAAGCCACAAUUGACGGUACCUGCAGAAGAAGCGCCGGCUAACUACGUGCCAGCACCCCGCGUUAAUACGUAGGGCGCAAGCGUUGUCCGGAAUUAUUGGGCCUAAA
Molecule: ribosomal RNA, 433 nt
Filed under: Kocuria palustris
Lineage: Bacteria; Bacillati; Actinomycetota; Actinomycetes; Micrococcales; Micrococcaceae
Description: bacterial SSU rRNA
Rfam family: Bacterial small subunit ribosomal RNA
Source: RNAcentral